UAGAGUUAUAAGCAUGUAUAUCUCUGUGCCAUUAUAUGCGAGAAAUAAACAAAUAGAGAGUAUACGGUUCAAUAUGGUCCAGCAAACACACUAAUGCCAGCAAGAGAUAUAGAACAUGGACAAGGGACAAAUGAGAGGGACAAAGGAUAAAUGGAAGGCGUCGGUCAAAAACAAUAGCAUUGGUCCUUAGGUUAGGUGUAGCGAUUGACCACAUAAGUCAGUAGAAUUAGUUUAUAUUCUGUCUAUUAGCAAUCGCUAUUGAGUGUCCGAACUGUCCCUGACGGUAGGUACGUGUUGUUUAGUCGGGCUUCUCCGCUGGUGCGCUCUUCCUGAGGUUCUUUUCUCACGUGGUGUAUCUUCCCCGGUUGCUCCCUCUAAGGCGUUGGUGGCCGAUAGGCCUAAUUUAUGAUAGAGCGUCUCUGGGUCAUCCGAGGAUGUCAGGGUGAGUGUUUCCGCGCCUCGUGUGAUGGCCAGGGAGACUUCUGCGUUCCGGCGGUACUUGACUGAGCAGUCUCGCAACUUCUUAGCCACCGGUGCCAGCUGCCUCCUUUCUGCUAGGACAAGGAAUGGUAGGUCACUGUAGAUGGAUAGGUUAUGGCCCUCGAAAUGCACUCGACCCAUUGUUCUGGAUUUAUUCAGGAUGGCGG
Pelobates cultripes (western spadefoot toad) is the source of this 647-nucleotide non-coding RNA. Lineage: Eukaryota; Metazoa; Chordata; Amphibia; Anura; Pelobatidae. The record is from the annotation of a GenBank genome assembly.